Pistacia vera is the source of this 164-nucleotide long non-coding RNA. RefSeq lists it as uncharacterized. The transcript is spliced from 3 exons. Lineage: Eukaryota; Viridiplantae; Streptophyta; Magnoliopsida; Sapindales; Anacardiaceae. The record is from RefSeq and is a predicted model, not a curated record.
UGCAACAGUAAAUACAUGGAGAGGUCACCAAUAUUGGGAAGUUAAUACAAAAAAGUUAAGUAUUAUAUAAAAGGUGAAGGGUGACAUUUAAAGAGAGGGAUUCAUUUUUUGCAAUAGUAAAUGCAUGAAGAGGUCACUAAUUCUGGGAAGUCAAGACUGAAAGG